GGGGCAGUAGCUCAGCCUGGGUAUUGAAGCAGGCUUAGCCGGGCUUUCCUUCAGGAAAGAGCACACGGCUGAAGACCGUGGAGUCAGGAGUUCAAAUCUCCUCUGCCCCA
This 110-nucleotide transfer RNA is filed under the name Candidatus Woesearchaeota archaeon. Its description in RNAcentral is "tRNA-Phe". It matches the Rfam family "tRNA". From Rfam's summary of the family: Transfer RNA (tRNA) molecules are approximately 80 nucleotides in length. Their secondary structure includes four short double-helical elements and three loops (D, anti-codon, and T loops). Lineage: Archaea; Nanobdellati; Candidatus Woesearchaeota. The record is from RNAcentral.